CCCGUACUCGAAUCAUCAAAAGUGAUGCGUCAAAGUGGCGAGCGGGGCUGGUGAUGAUUCCGCAGCUGAUCCGGGGCAUUAUUGAUCGUCCCGUGUGUCCCGCUGUUGUGAUCCGGUCGCAGCAGGCGAUCCGAUCCUCCGGCUGCAACAAUGGCAUCGUUGUCCCAUAAUCUACACACCACCAUCGGCGGACCUUUUGAAGGUCCUUUGGGCCAAAGUUCUGGCCGUGAUGGCGAACACACACGCCGCCAUAUAGCAGCAUAUGCAAAACACAAUGAGGUUCUUUGAAGCGCAUCGCAUUCCCCUCUUUCAGCUCUUUCAGCUCUACACAAAAGGCGACAAAUUCCCCCUUUUUUGCCAUGUGUGCGUCGUGUUUUCAUUUUUUUUGUCUUUAAUCAGCGGCUGUUGCUUUGAUCACCAUCUCGGGAUCGCCAUCGCCAUUGCCAUUGCCAUCAGCACCACCUGACAAGGUGCUACGUUUAAGUCCCUCCCUGGUUCCUGGCUGCCCAACUAUGUACCUGCGCUCGAAGGUGUGACAAGUCAGCGGAUUUGCGUGUUGCUUCUUGCGAAAUAUUUAAAAUGCAAGAUUAUCGCCCAAAAAGGAUAGCUCGCCGCACUUAAUCCUGCCGCUGCAGCAGGCUCUCCAAUUUCAACCGACUAACUUACACCGAGAAUAUUUAUUGCCGUUUACCCAUAUACUCGAUAUAAAAAAAAGACACAAACGAAGAUCAACCGACCGACCGACCGACCGGCUGAGCGAGCGAUCUUAGCCGGAAUUCUAUUGCCCCCUGUGGCAACAACAACAACUGCAACAAGAACAACAUCAGCGGCAGCAGCGGCAGCAGCACUAACAAUAACAACGUCAACAACAACAGGUUGCCGCCGCCUGAAGUGCUUCGUGGCCCAGACAAACGUUAAGAUUGUAAUAACCAUGUUAAAAGCAAUUUACGUUUAAAGUGCUACCGUGAUACGCCGCCGAUGCGUUUCUUGAUUAAGAACAGAGGGGAUGCUGGAAAAAAAGGAAAGGCAGGGAGGAGACGAGGAGGUCCAGGAACUGGACUUGCAUUUAUUUGGCGGCAAGAAAUGCGCAUACCCGUUACCUGACCAGCAAUAGGUCCACUUAACACGCGCGUCGCACAAUGCGCCUCAAAACACAAAUGAGCAGAGUUCUGCGCAUGCGUCGCUGUUGCCGCUGCUGCUGCUGCUGCUGAUGUUGCUGCUGCCCCAACGGUGGCGUUGGUAACCUCAGAAAAUCUGUGCUGGCGGCGCGCUUUGAUGUUCGGAAUGGCGUGUGCCCCAAUGCAGAGAUUUUCGCUUUGUUGUUUCGCCGACUUUGUCUACGUCUUCGUUGCCGGCCAACAACAACACCAUCGCCAUGCAACAGCAAUUUGCCGCCAAGUGGACCGCAGCAGCAGCAGCAGCAGCAAAAACCUGAGGAGCGUGCAACAUUGGAGCGUGCGAUCCGAGAGAGUGCCACCAGAAACACCUGGUGACCAUGCAACAUCACUGACCUCCGUCAAUCGAGAGCAAUGCAAUUAUGAACCCCGGCUGGAAGAAAUUAAAGAUGCUCGCUCCGCCGGCUGAUGGAUGAGAAAUGCUGCUGCCGACUGGAGAUUGGAUGCUGGAUUCUGGAUGCUGGAGCCUCGGCGCACCUGUUGCGUUUCCCACAGCGAGCGGACGCUUUGGUUUUUCGCAAAAUAAAGAUGAAAAAACACCGGAGAACAGUUGUGCAGCGGAUCCUGAAAUCGGGCAAAAGGAUCAAAGGACGUGACCGUGACUGGGCCGAACCGAUAAUAAAGUUGUGCAUUAAAUGAAAUUUUAAUUGCUUAUCGGCGACCGGCGAUCCGGGAGCCCAUCUGUUGGGAUUAGAGCGGCCGAAUGGCCGACUCGAUUGAUGUCAAGCGAUCGGUCGGUCGGCGCUUUGAAGAUUAUGCCCAAAGUUAUGAGGUUGCGGUAGAGGCUCUGUAUUCCAGGUGCUCCGUUCUCCAGGUGAUCGGAUCGGCCUAUGCGAAAUUAUAUAGCUCAGCAGCGUUGGUAGCGAUGUAGCAGCUUUAACUACGCAGUGCCUGUCGCUUCCUCGCCGUCCUCUUUCUCGUCAUCGUCAUCGUCAUCAUCCUCAUCAUCAUCAUCAUCAUCAUCAUCAUCAUCACCGUCAUCAUCUUCCGCUGGGGCAUCGCAUCAGCUGGCGCUGCUGCUUGUUGCUUGCUGCUUGCUAUUUGCUGCAUGCGGCAGAAGAUGAAACGCGGCGGCACAACUUUGAUGCGGCCAAGAUCAAAGCCGCCGAUUGUUUACAUAAUAGUGGCCUUUGAAACGGAACAAUAGAAUGCCAGGAUCAAAGACACCGACCAGUUUACCCGGUUAGUGCGCUUAAGCGAAAUGAAUGUCCAUGUCCGUCCGCCCGUGAUCUGUUUUUCCUGGCCCCACACCGCAAGAAAAUGUAUGCUUUUUGGGAUCAAUAAAAACCAUUUGAGUAUGCUUUAUCAAAUCAACAAAUACUAACUAUCUAGUUUUUCAGUGAGUACUUGUUUUUAACCAAGUCAGCUAAAAUGUUUAGUUAAUUCAUUUUGGACAAAGGUUUUGUUGCAGUGUAGU
Molecule: non-coding RNA, 2592 nt
Organism: Drosophila melanogaster (fruit fly)
Lineage: Eukaryota; Metazoa; Arthropoda; Insecta; Diptera; Drosophilidae
Source: Ensembl